AUGUACUCUGAUAACUACUUUGUGAAACUACCUAGGAGGGUCAGUGGAUAUUCUGGUUUGGAUUGGGUGCAGGAGACACUAGCCCGAGAUACCCAAUGCUAUAACAUGUUUAGGGUUGAGAGACCUUUGUUUAAUAGGCUACAUAAUACUUUGGUGCAAUCAUAUGGCUUGAAGUCCACUACAAAAAUGACAUCUGUAGAGGCUCUAGCUAUGUUUUUAUGGAUUGUUGGAUCACCACAGUCAGUUAGACAGGCUGAGAACCGUUUCAGAAGGUCUAUGGAGACAGUAAGUAGGACAUUUAAUAGAGUUUUGGCAUGCCUCCUCAGGUUAGCACAUGACAUAAUUGCACCUAAGGAUCCAACAUUUUCAGAGGUGCACCCAAACUUAGAAAAUCCAGUAUUCUGGCCACACUUCUAUGACUGCAUAGGAGCUAUAGAUGGGACACAUGUGAAUGUUGUGGUGGAUAAGAGUAAGAGGGUUCCAUACUUGAACAGGCACAAUGAAACCAGUCAGAAUGUGCUUGCUGUUUGUGAUUUCGACAUGAGAUUUACAUUUGUGAUGUCGGGAUGGCCUGGUUCAGCACAUGACAUGAGAGUUUUCAAAGAUGCCGUAACUACUCAUCAAGACAAAUUUCCACAUCCACCACCAAGGAAGUAUUAUGUGGUUGAUGCGGGAUACCCAAACCGGCCAGGCUACCUUUCACCAUACAGAUGUACAAGGUACCAUGUGCAACAAUGGCAAAAUGGCCCGCCGCCACAAGGUAUGAAAGAAACCUUCAACCAUGCACAUGCCAAAGUUAGGAAUGUCGUUGAGCGAUCAUUUGGAGUGUUGAAGAUGAAAUUUAGGAUUUUAUUGAACAUGCCAAAAUUUCCAGAGGACAAGCAAAGUAGAAUUAUUGUUGCCUAUAUGGCUCUUCAUAAUUUCAUUCGAGAGAGCAGAAUUGCGGAUAGGGAAUUUGAUGCUUGUGAUGCAGAUGAAAAUUAUAACCCAAUGCCUAGUUCUUCUGCAUCCGCAUGGCCAGAAGACGAACCUCUUGUUGAAGAUAUCAACAUGAAUGCCUUCCGUGAUGAGUUAGCUCAUGCUUUAUUUUAUGGAGUGUAA
RNAcentral lists this ribosomal RNA (1101 nucleotides) under Triticum aestivum (bread wheat). RNAcentral describes it as "partial small subunit ribosomal RNA". Lineage: Eukaryota; Viridiplantae; Streptophyta; Magnoliopsida; Poales; Poaceae. The record is from RNAcentral.